GUUUCCCCCAAGGAAGGUGUGGUAUGCAGGUAGACUACUAGUAACAAAGCUGCAGACGCCGCAGUCUAUUUAUGCCCCAGUCUAUUUACGUGGUGGCUGGGCCAAACGCAAGUUCUAGGAUGCCCAGGAGGGGCGGGAAAGGCGAACCUACGAAAUGCUGGCGGGAUCUGUGGAGGAGCAGGCGCGGGGAGCAGACACUACAGGACUAUUGAGCGAUGUCGCAUCUCACUCCCGCCAGCGCGAGCCUCGAUCAUAUGAAGUAUUUCAUGCAUGAACCAGGGAAGAUUCCAAUUCGUUGAACCUGGGAAAUUGGAACUGAAAAGGGAUAUCCAUAGGAGACAGAGUCUCACUGAGUUACUUAUCUCCUCGACAUUGCUAAUGCUGGCUUUGAACUUGCAAUCCUCCUGCCUCAGCCUCCCGAAAUGCUGGGAUUAUAGCUGCUGGGAUUACAGGCAUGCCACAGUGCCCAGCUAUUAAAUGUGUUCUUCAGCUUGUAUUUCAUUGUUUGAAGCACAAUAUUUCAUAUUCUAGUACUUGAAGCAUAAAAACUAUUUGAAUAUCUUAUUGUAAAAGUAACAAUGAAGCAUAUGAUACAUACUAUGUAAAAGAAUUAUGUUUAUAAAUAAAAUCUUCUUCUAAUUGGUUUCUUGUAAUGACUGUAUGCUAAUGGCAAAGUCAUUCCAUUAUACUCCCCUUUCCUUAGCAUUUAGCAUUGAGUACAGAAGUUUCAAUAGCUUCUAUAUAAUUAAGGAAAAAAACUUAUAAAUGCAUAAAAUAGAAGCCAAAGUGAAUUCUCAUUCUGGUAAUCAAAUGAAGUACUUAAAAAUUUGCUUCUUCAUAGUAUAGAAACCUAAAUAUUACCAUGUAUAAAAUCAUAAGCUAGUUUUUGAUAACUUUAAGAAUCUUUACCUUAAAUAUUAAAACAGUUAAAUGAAUUAAGUUCAAGAAUAUUAGAGAAUUGUAUUAAAGACCUUAAAAUAAAAUUCUCUACUAAAAACAAUUUUAAAACUUUCAAAACAAUGAAUAUAAAACUGUUAAAACCAUUGACAGUAGUAGAUGCAUUGUAGGUCAACUUACUGUUGUCAAUGUGGAGAGCAAGAAAAAACAUUUUAUUUAGCAAUUGAAAUAUUUAAGAAAUACAUGUAGAAAUCUAAGUAUUUUUAGCAUAAUUCAUUUUAAAAAUUCAAUGUCAAUAAGAAUUGUGCUGGGGCUGGGGAUGUGGCUCAAGUGGUGGUGUGCUGGCCUGGCAUGUACAAGGCACUGGGUUCAAUCCUCAGCACCACAUAAAAAUAAAUAAAGAUAUGUGUCCACCUAAAACAAAAAAAUAAAUAUUAAAAAAAAAGAAUUGUGCUAUAACACAAGUAGAAAAAGAACCAUUAUAACACUAACCAUUGUCAAAUGAAACACUUUAGAAAGUAAAUGACAUACAAGUUUGUGAUUUGCCUUGACUAUAUAGAUUAGUCUAAAAAUCAUGCUACUAAUGGAACAUCCUUUAAACCACAAUAUUUUACUUUAAAAGGCAAAUAUCCUCAGUUAUUAUUUAUACCAUCUUAUCAUUAAGGCCCUGCCUACAUAUAAAGUAAGUGAAAUGAAGAUCUGAAAUGAAGUUUUUAAUCAUAGUUAACCCAAGCACAUUAUCCCUUUCCCUCCCACUCCCAACUCAAUAAAGUGAGUAUGGUAUCAGUUUUAAUUACUACUCUAGGGGAAAUUAAUUAAAACUACAAACCAGAAAAUAGGUUUAAUCAACUUUUUUGGGUUGUAUUGGUUUAGUGGCUUUUAAAAUUUUAUAAAAGCUAUGUAGAUUAAGAAUAAAAUAUCCAAUUUAUCAAAUCACUUAAAAUGAAAUCUGUAUCAUGAGUUGGAGAUUUAUUAUUAUAUAUUCAAACUCUUUAAAAAAACUAUUUUGUGAAGAUGUGAAUUUGGUGUCAACAUACAUUAUGUAUAAUCAGAGAUGAUAAAUUGUGGUAUAAAGGUGUAUUAAGAAUUGUAAUGCAAAAAAUAAUGAUAAUAAUAAUAAGAGAGCUCAUGUAUAAUGGCAUAAUAAAUAAAUAAAUAAGCAAAAAAAAAAUUGGUUCUGGGAUUGAACCCAGGGUUUCAUACAUGAUAGGGAAGUACUCUACCACUGAGCUACAUCCCAUCCCCUAAUGUUUGUUGUUAUUUUUUAAAAUUUUAUUUCAAGACAAAGUCUUGCAAAAUUGCCUAGGCUAGCCUCAAACUUGAGAUCCCCCUGUCUCAGCCUGCUGAGUAGUUGUGUUGGAAUUUCCAUUGGUAUUGAGAUGUGUUGUUUAUAUCAAAUUAAUCCUGUUGUUAGUCUUCAAAAAUAAUAAUAUAUGGGCUGGGGUUGUGGCUUGAUGGUAGAGUGCUUGCCUAGCAUGUGCUCAGCACCACAUGAAAACAAAUAAAUAAAAUAAAAGGUAUUGUGUCCAACUACAACUAAAAAAAUAAAUAUAAAAAAAAUAAUGUAUACAUGUUUAUUGGGGAGAAUGAGAAUAUGACAGUAGUUAAUAUCAGUUUUGUGUGUUAGGAAAAAAAUGUCUUUAAAACAUUUUUACCUCCCAUAAUGAUUUACCUAUCAAAAUGACUUUAGUGGGAAACUGAAACUUUUUAAAAUCCAUAUUUGAUAAUGGAUUAGGAACAUUAGAUUUUUCCAAUUUUUUUUUAUAUUAAGUACACAUAUGGGGGAAGAUGACUGUAGGACUAUAUAUCUUCAAAUUGCUAUUACAUGAUUUCUUGUGACUUUUAGUAGCAUUAAUAAAUUUUUUAAAAUAAAAACAAUCUAAGAGUUUAAGAAGAAUAUAGUAUUUCUCCUGCAUGGUGAGAUUGGAGUGGUUUUUCAUUUUUUUUUAACUUUAUACAUUACUUUUAUAAUAAACUUCCAAGAGCAAAAAAGAUAGCUGUGUGAUGUUGGGCACCAACUCACCUAUCAUGUAACCACUUUGAUAAUAAAUAACUGUCAAAUUAUCCAAAUCUACCAUAUGGUGAUUCACAGAAGUUAUUCAGACACCUGAAAUGAUUAUGGAUCAGACAUAAUGAAUGCCACAGAUAGAAUACAGAAAAAAAUUGUUAUGAUUAAAGCCAAGUCUUUAAAUAGGUAUACUUUCUUAGAAAGUUUUCAACUAUUUUAUCCACCUCAGAAAUUCUGUUAAACCUAUGGGAUGUCAGAGAUUACAGAGUAUUUUUACAAUUCUGCUUUUAAUAUAAUACUUCCCAUAGGCAUAAUCUAAUUUAAGUGUGGGUCAUUUUAAUAUAAAUCAGCAAUCUAAAAAUUUACAUUUUAUAAACUAAUUCUAAGGCUGGGGUUGUAUCUCAGUGGUAGAGCACUUGCCAGACACAUGUGAGGCACUGGGUUCAAUGCUCAGCACCACAUAAAAAUAAAUAAAUAAAGUUAUUGUUUUUAAGUUUUUAGUUAAAAAAUAACUAAAAAAUAAAAAAUAAAUAAAACUAAAAAAUAAAUAAAAAAAACCAAACUAUUGCUAUCCUAGAAAAGUAUACAAUAAAUAUACAGACAUCAGAAUAUAUGCCUCUAAAAUAUAUAUAAAAAAUUUAAUCAGCCUUACUGUGUAAUUUCUUAAAAUAAGAAAUAAAUUUGAAAAUUGCAUGAGCUAGAAAAAUCAUGGCAUUCUAUAGGUAAUCCUAUUUUAUAAAUAUAGUAACUAAACAGUUUUUUAAAUUAAUUAAUUUAUUUUAAUUAGGUAUAUAUGACAGCAGAAUGCAUUUUGAUUCGUUGUACACAAUUGCAGCGCAACUUUUCAUUUCAGUAGUUAUACACGAUGUAGCGUCACACCAUAUAUGCAGUCAUACAUGUACCUAGGGUAAUGAUGUCCAUCUCAUUCUACCAUUUUUCCCGCCUCUAUGCAACCUCCCUAUCCUUCCUCCCCUUUGCCCAAUCACAGUUACUCCAUUUUUCCCAUGCCUCCUCCCUCCCCAUUAGCAUCCACUUAUCAGAGAGAACAUUUGGCCUUUGUUUUUUGGGAUUGGCUUACUUUGCUUAGCAAGAUAUUCUCCA
Molecule: long non-coding RNA, 4006 nt
Organism: Marmota monax (woodchuck)
Lineage: Eukaryota; Metazoa; Chordata; Mammalia; Rodentia; Sciuridae
Exons: 3
Source: RefSeq, a predicted model, not a curated record